This 356-nucleotide transfer-messenger RNA is filed under the name Clostridia. RNAcentral describes it as "CAG-269 sp945877035 Standard tmRNA". It matches the Rfam family "transfer-messenger RNA". Rfam says of the family: Bacterial tmRNA, also known as 10Sa RNA or SsrA, is named for its dual tRNA and mRNA-like properties. Its role is to liberate the mRNA from a stalled ribosome. The record is from RNAcentral. RNAcentral also lists the same sequence under 1 other name. Lineage: Bacteria; Bacillati; Bacillota.
GGGGAUGUAAUGGUUUCGACAUAUUACCAGAAAAAUAGAUAGCAAGUAGUGGAUUCUCGUUGGCCACUUUAAAAAACGGGAAAUUAAAAAUAAACGCUGAUAACGAAGAAUUAGCAUACGCUGCCUAAUUGCGGCGUCAUCUUAUUUAAAUAGCCUACUGAUUUAAAUAGGGUGUCAAAUUAAAGUAGGAAACAAAGCUAUUUUAGCUUUAGAAAUAGUGGGUAUUUUAUAAAGCUAUAUUUUUAAUUAGCCUGUUUAUCGGCGAAUUAAAAAUGAAUAAAAAAGAUAAAAUAAACUUGUAGAGGUCUAUUUGGAAAGUAUUAUGGACAGGAGUUCGACUCUCCUCAUCUCCACCA